RNAcentral lists this ribosomal RNA (433 nucleotides) under uncultured bacterium. RNAcentral describes it as "partial 16S ribosomal RNA". It matches the Rfam family "Bacterial small subunit ribosomal RNA", at positions 29 to 507 of the family's 1533-position model. The record is from RNAcentral.
AACGAACGCUGGCGGCAGGCCUAACACAUGCAAGUCGAGCGGACCCUUCGGGGUUAGCGGCGGACGGGUGAGUAACGCGUGGGAAUAUGCCCUUCUCUACGGAAUAGUCCUGGGAAACUGGGGGUAAUACCGUAUACGCCCUUUGGGGGAAAGAUUUAUCGGGGAAGGAUUAGCCCGCGUUGGAUUAGGUAGUUGGUGGGGUAAUGGCCUACCAAGCCGACGAUCCAUAGCUGGUUUGAGAGGAUGAUCAGCCACACUGGGGCUGAGACACGGCCCAGACUCCUACGGGAGGCAGCAGUGGGGAAUCUUAGACAAUGGGGGCAACCCUGAUCUAGCCAUGCCGCGUGAGUGAUGAAGGCCUUAGGGUUGUAAAGCUCUUUCAGCUGGGAAGAUAAUGACGGUACCAGCAGAAGAAGCCCCGGCUAACUCCGUG